UCCAUAGGUUAAUGAGGCGAACCGGGGGAACUGAAACAUCUAAGUACCCCGAGGAAAAGAAAUCAACCGAGAUUCCCCCAGUAGCGGCGAGCGAACGGGGAGGAGCCCAGAGCCUGAAUCAGCAUGUGUGUUAGUGGAAGCGUCCGGAAAGGCGCGCGAUACAGGGUGACAGCCCCGUACACAAAAGCGCAUGUGCUGUGAGCUCGAUGAGUAGGGCGGGACACGUGGUAUCCUGUCUGAAUAUGGGGGGACCAUCCUCCAAGGCUAAAUACUCCUGACUGACCGAUAGUGAACCAGUACCGUGAGGGAAAGGCGAAAAGAACCCCGGCGAGGGGAGUGAAAAAGAACCUGAAACCGU
RNAcentral lists this ribosomal RNA (358 nucleotides) under Salmonella enterica subsp. enterica. RNAcentral describes it as "partial 23S ribosomal RNA". It matches the Rfam family "Bacterial large subunit ribosomal RNA", at positions 163 to 559 of the family's 2925-position model. Lineage: Bacteria; Pseudomonadati; Pseudomonadota; Gammaproteobacteria; Enterobacterales; Enterobacteriaceae. The record is from RNAcentral.